RNAcentral lists this ribosomal RNA (274 nucleotides) under uncultured bacterium. RNAcentral's name for it is "partial 16S ribosomal RNA". It matches the Rfam family "Bacterial small subunit ribosomal RNA", at positions 523 to 796 of the family's 1533-position model. The record is from RNAcentral.
AUACGGAGGGGGUUAGCGUUGUUCGGAAUUACUGGGCGUAAAGCGUACGUAGGCGGACUGGAAAGUUGGGGGUGAAAUCCCGGGGCUCAACCCCGGAACUGCCUCCAAAACUUCCAAUCUAGAGAUCGAGAGAGGUGAGUGGAAUUCCAAGUGUAGAGGUGAAAUUCGUAGAUAUGUGGAGGAACACCAGUGGCGAAGGCGGCUCACUGGCUCGAUACUGACGCUGAGGUACGAAAGCGUGGGGAGCAAACAGGAUUAGAAACCCGAGUAGUCC